AUCUCGUUCCCAGAGUAUGCCUGUUCGCGGGUUAGGUAGUGGCCCGCGAACAGGCAUACUCUGGGAACGAGAUUGAAUG
Molecule: non-coding RNA, 79 nt
Organism: Paramuricea clavata
Lineage: Eukaryota; Metazoa; Cnidaria; Anthozoa; Malacalcyonacea; Plexauridae
Source: the annotation of a GenBank genome assembly